GUUAUAAUAGUUUAAUAAAAACCUUGGUUUUGUAAACCAAAAUUAGAUAUGUAAUCUUUAUAACU
Molecule: transfer RNA, 65 nt
Filed under: Spirula spirula
Lineage: Eukaryota; Metazoa; Mollusca; Cephalopoda; Spirulida; Spirulidae
Description: tRNA-Thr
Rfam family: tRNA
About the family: Transfer RNA (tRNA) molecules are approximately 80 nucleotides in length. Their secondary structure includes four short double-helical elements and three loops (D, anti-codon, and T loops). Further hydrogen bonds mediate the characteristic L-shaped molecular structure. tRNAs have two regions of fundamental functional importance: the anti-codon, which is responsible for specific mRNA codon recognition, and the 3' end, to which the tRNAs corresponding amino acid is attached (by aminoacyl-tRNA synthetases). tRNAs cope with the degeneracy of the genetic code in two manners: having more than one tRNA (with a specific anti-codon) for a particular amino acid; and 'wobble' base-pairing, i.e. permitting non-standard base-pairing at the 3rd anti-codon position.
Source: RNAcentral